AGAAUGUAGGAGAUACCUUAUUCUCUUGAAUACAAAGUAAAAUCCAGAAGCGCGUAUCUGCUAAUUACAUUAAUAUAUCGACGUUGCUUAUAUCAUCGCGUUAAAAAUAAUGCUUUUCUAAAUACUCGCAGACGUCAAAGGAAAUUUUUUAGAUAAUCAGCUCGAAACUGAAAGUAAGCAAGAAAAAAAGAAAAGCAAUAAAGCCGGUACCGUCCAACUGGUACCUAUUUACUUUUGACGAAGAACUGAAUUAUCGCGACAAGUCCGCAAUAGGAAGAAUUAAAUCCACGUAAGGCGAAGUAUAUUGUGGGCGGCCUGAAAACCCAAUGGUCUGCAAAGCCUCGACCUUGCUUACCAAAUAAGGUCCCAUUCAAGGUCUUCGAGGCCUUGCGUAAGGCUCUGGCUGUGCCAUCGGCAUAACGAUUAACCGAUUAUGUCUACGUUUUAGUCAUCGCUCGUUUUUAAGUGAAAAUGGUGCAGCCACCAUCGAGAGCACACCGUCAUUUUAUAUAUUUAGCCUUCUCCCGAUCGUUCGAUUAGAUUAACUUCGAAAAUUUCGUAUUGGGCGUGUCUGCCCUACGCGGACACGUGCCCCGUAGGUAACGUCUGGCUCCAGUCGCGCAGUGCCACCGAAAUCAAUACGGAAUGCGACGUCAUGAUCAUCGUUGACGAGUGGAAAGCAUGCAUGGAAUCCGGCCAGAGUGGAAUACGCGAUCACUAUAUUUAGUGUUGACUUAUGGCUCGUCAGAUCGAGAAACUGUGACGUCCUCCUCAGCAGCUGACGAUAAAGAGAACGACGAUAGCCAGCGCGCAGACUGUGGACUUGUUGUUUCUAUCGAAAUAAAAUUCUCACUGAGAAUUCGUUGAUGAUUCAAGGUACCAGCAUACUCUUGGAAAACAUCCAACGGUUCAUCAAAAUACGUUAUUCAUUCACUGGUUACUCAUUAAACCGAGGCCCCUACUGUUAUGAGGACCACCUUGGCGAGUUGUUUGGUCCUAUGGUGUUUCAUGGCCAUGGGAGAGAUCGAUUAGGAACCUCUGCAGCGGCCACCACGCCCAGACAGGGAGGGAGCUGGUAUGAGUCACCCCAUAGAGAGAACCCAUAAGACGGGCGGGGACACCACCGUCGCGCUGCAACGUGGCAUUGAAAGUGACGAGAACACCGUGCAUAUUCACCCUCGCCUUUUUCCUUCAUAGUUCGACGAACGUGUGUCACGCGAGUCUAGGGAACACCAUGGAUCACGUGCGUCGACCUAACUCAACAACUUACUUAGUGCAAUUUAAGCCUAGGGAUGCCAUUGAUUUUCAUCCAUUGGACAAUGCGAGGAGAGGGCUUAACGAUUACUCAUCCUGCACCCACAACCACUUGCCAUUCUAUAUAUCCAAUAAAACUGUUACCUUUACUGUUUAAUUAUUUUGUAUCUCAAGUUUAAUAAUAAAAUUUCUUAUUAAUUUAA
Molecule: non-coding RNA, 1457 nt
Organism: Osmia lignaria (orchard mason bee)
Lineage: Eukaryota; Metazoa; Arthropoda; Insecta; Hymenoptera; Megachilidae
Source: RefSeq, a predicted model, not a curated record